GCGGACAGAAGGGAGCUUGCUCCCGGAUGUUAGCGGCGGACGGGUGAGUAACACGUGGGUAACCUGCCUGUAAGACUGGGAUAACUCCGGGAAACCGGAGCUAAUACCGGAUAGUUCCUUGAACCGCAUGGUUCAAGGAUGAAAGACGGUUUCGGCUGUCACUUACAGAUGGACCCGCGGCGCAUUAGCUAGUUGGUGGGGUAAUGGCUCACCAAGGCGACGAUGCGUAGCCGACCUGAGAGGGUGAUCGGCCACACUGGGACUGAGACACGGCCCAGACUCCUACGGGAGGCAGCAGUAGGGAAUCUUCCGCAAUGGACGAAAGUCUGACGGAGCAACGCCGCGUGAGUGAUGAAGGUUUUCGGAUCGUAAAGCUCUGUUGUUAGGGAAGAACAAGUGCGAGAGUAACUGCUCGCACCUUGACGGUACCUAACCAGAAAGCCACGGCUAACUACGUGCCAGCAGCCGCGGUAAUACGUAUGUGGCAAGCGUUGUCCGGAAUUAUUGGGGCGUAAAGGGCUCGCAGGCGGUCUUCUUAAGUCUGAUGUGAAACCCCCCGGCUCAC
Molecule: ribosomal RNA, 565 nt
Filed under: Bacillus pumilus
Lineage: Bacteria; Bacillati; Bacillota; Bacilli; Caryophanales; Bacillaceae
Description: bacterial SSU rRNA
Rfam family: Bacterial small subunit ribosomal RNA
Source: RNAcentral